Molecule: ribosomal RNA, 483 nt
Filed under: uncultured bacterium
Lineage: Bacteria
Description: partial 16S ribosomal RNA
Rfam family: Bacterial small subunit ribosomal RNA
Source: RNAcentral
GACGAACGCUGGCGGCGUGCUUAACACAUGCAAGUCGAACGCUGAAGCUCAGCUUUUGUUGGGUGGAUGAGUGGCGAACGGGUGAGUAACACGUGAGUAACCUGCCUCCUUCUUUGGGAUAACGCCCGGAAACGGGUGCUAAUACUGGAUAUUCACUGGUCUUCGCAUGGGGGUUGGUGGAAAGGGUUUUUCUGGUGGGGGAUGGGCUCGCGGCCUAUCAGCUUGUUGGUGGGGUGAUGGCCUACCAAGGCUUUGACGGGUAGCCGGCCUGAGAGGGUGAACGGUCACAUUGGGACUGAGAUACGGCCCAGACUCGUACGGGAGGCAGCAGUGGGGAAUAUUGCACAAUGGGAGCAAGCCUGAUGCAGCGACGCCGCGUGAGGGAUGGAGGCCUUCGGGUUGUGAACCUCUUUCGCUAAUGGUCAAGCCGCAACAAUGGUUGUGGUGAGGGUAGUGGGUAAAGAAGCGCCGGCUAACUACGUG